This 329-nucleotide ribosomal RNA is filed under the name uncultured eukaryote. RNAcentral's name for it is "partial 18S ribosomal RNA". It matches the Rfam family "Eukaryotic small subunit ribosomal RNA", at positions 1470 to 1796 of the family's 1831-position model. The record is from RNAcentral.
CCCUUAGAUGUUCUGGGCCGCACGCGCGCUACACUGACGAUGGCAACGAGUUUUUCCUUCGCCGAAAGGUGUGGGUAAUCUUUUGAAACAUCGUCGUGCUGGGGAUAGAUCAUUGCAAUUUUUGAUCUUGAACGAGGAAUUCCUAGUAAGCGCGAGUCAUCAGCUCGCGUUGAUUACGUCCCUGCCCUUUGUACACACCGCCCGUCGCUACUACCGAUUGAAUGGUUUAGUGAGGACUCCUGAUUGGCGCCGCCGCCCCGGCAACGGAGCAGCGGACUGCCGAAAAGUUGUUCAAACUUGAUCAUUUAGAGAAAGUAAAAGUCGUAACA